Mesocricetus auratus (golden hamster) is the source of this 667-nucleotide long non-coding RNA. RefSeq lists it as uncharacterized. The transcript has 3 exons. The record is from RefSeq and is a predicted model, not a curated record. Lineage: Eukaryota; Metazoa; Chordata; Mammalia; Rodentia; Cricetidae.
GCUGGGUUGGGUAGUGAGCCAACCCUUUCCGGAAUCAUCUCACUGGCUUUCUGCAAUAAUACAAUGAGCUUUGGGAAGAACAUUAUGGAAACUUGGUGCAUGAAUUCAGUCUACAAUCAGCAAGCCAGGAUAACCUACAUUCCAUUUUUUUCACAUGCCUCUGUGUGGUCUCAGGGGUCAAUGUAUGAAUGGAGUUCCCUAUGAAGGCUCUUGAAUCCUUUCAUGAAGCAAAACAAGACAAGCAGCAGCAACAACAAAACCUUAAAACAAGUAGCCAAUGUGAAGGGUGUGGACCAAAUAGGCUGCGUGCACGUUUCCUCUGUUCCUCCUCCAUUCCAGUUACCCUCACCACAUCCAACCCCAGGCCUUGCCUAUGCAUCACAUCCUAUGUUCAUCUUUCCUCCAGUGAGUCCUGCUGACCCUUAUUCAUGCUCCCCAUAUCCAAUUCCCAGUCCUAUUCCAGAUCUCACAUAUAUGAUAGGUCCCUGGGACCUGUGCCCUCACCCCACGCCCUGGCCAACAAUAACUCCCAAGCACCCCCUGGGCUCUAUAGACUUUGUGCAGGCCUAGACAAAAAUUAUUAUCAUGUACUAAUCCUCCUGAUGUGACCAGGUGGAAAGUGUUCUCUUUGCAUAAGCACGGAAUUAAAUUCUAGGGGCAUUCGGUG